UAGAUUGACCCCAUAUUAGAUUUCACAGCAUUUCUCGUGCUAUUCAUCUUCUUACUUCCACCUUCCUCUUCUUCUUCCAUCUUCUCCGACAACGGCGACGGCGACGGCGAAGGCGAAGACCACCGCCACCACGUUUUACAAAUUUUCUGUCAUUCUUUUCCAUCUUCUUCUACCUUCCACCUUCUUCUUCUUCUAUCUUCUCCGACUCAGCUUUUCCCUCCGUUCAGAUUACAAACCAUUGUUCCUUCUCUCCCUCCUUUCAUUGCUAUUCUCUCUUAUUUGAUCCAAAUUGAAAACCGUAUUCAUUUUUUUUUUUAUAAACGAAAACCCUAUUCCUUAAUAUCAGAUUCAAAACCAUAUGGAGAGAACCCUAACUUUUGUUUACCCCAAAUUUCGUAACAUGAC
This 405-nucleotide long non-coding RNA is filed under the name Trifolium pratense (red clover). RNAcentral's name for it is "long non-coding RNA (TPRA_LNC013435)". The record is from RNAcentral. Lineage: Eukaryota; Viridiplantae; Streptophyta; Magnoliopsida; Fabales; Fabaceae.